UCCGACAGUCAUUUGAAUUGAGUAACGUAAAUGCCUUUGAAGAAAAACUUCAUAAUAUAUAUUUUUUCCGUCAUUAUUUUAGUACUUCAAGUAUUAUCUGUUACAUCAUGCACCGAUAGUGCUUUAGUACAAACCAUUUUUGACCUAGGCUAAACCAAUACAAUAUUAAAAAUAAUUAAUAGUUUGUUACAAAAAUUCCUUUUUUUCAGCACCACAAAAAUUCA
Cinara cedri is the source of this 224-nucleotide non-coding RNA. Lineage: Eukaryota; Metazoa; Arthropoda; Insecta; Hemiptera; Aphididae. The record is from the annotation of a GenBank genome assembly.